GAUGAACGCUAGCUACAGGCUUAACACAUGCAAGUCGCGGGGUAACAUCUGGUAGAGCUUGCUCUUCCAGGAUGACGACCGGCGCACGGGUGAGUAACGCGUAUCCAACCUGGCCCAUACCACGGGAUAGCCCGUCGAAAGGCGGAUUAAUACCGUAUGCUGUCAUUAAGAUGCAUUUUUUGAUGACGAAAGGACUGGCGGUAUGGGAUGGGGAUGCGUCUGAUUAGCUUGUUGGCGGGGUAACGGCCCACCAAGGCGACGAUCAGUAGGGGUUCUGAGAGGAAGGUCCCCCACAUUGGAACUGAGACACGGUCCAAACUCCUACGGGAGGCAGCAGUGAGGAAUAUUGGUCAAUGGGCGAGAGCCUGAACCAGCCAAGUAGCGUGCAGGAUGACGGCCCUAUGGGUUGUAAACUGCUUUUAUACGGGGAUAAAGUGAGCCACGUGUGACUUAUUGCAGGUACCGUAUGAAUAAGGACCGGCUAAUUCCGUGCCAGCA
Molecule: ribosomal RNA, 498 nt
Filed under: uncultured bacterium
Lineage: Bacteria
Description: bacterial SSU rRNA
Rfam family: Bacterial small subunit ribosomal RNA
Source: RNAcentral